GACGAACGCUGGCGGCGUGCUUAACACAUGCAAGUCGAACGGAAAGGCCCUGCUUUUGUGGGGUGCUCGAGUGGCGAACGGGUGAGUAACACGUGAGUAACCUGCCCUUGACUUUGGGAUAACUUCAGGAAACUGGGGCUAAUACCGGAUUGGGGCUCCUGCUGCAUGGUGGGGGUUGGAAAGUUUCGGCGGUUGGGGAUGGACUCGCGGCUUAUCAGCUUGUUGGUGGGGUAGUGGCUUACCAAGGCUUUGACGGGUAGCCGGCCUGAGAGGGUGACCGGCCACAUUGGGACUGAGAUACGGCCCAGACUCCUACGGGAGGCAGCAGUGGGGAAUAUUGCACAAUGGGCGGAAGCCUGAUGCAGCAACGCCGCGUGCGGGAUGACGGCCUUCGGGUUGUAAACCGCUUUCGCCUGUGACGAAGCGUGAGUGACGGUAAUGGGUAAAGAAGCACCGGCUAACUACGUG
RNAcentral lists this ribosomal RNA (468 nucleotides) under uncultured bacterium. Its description in RNAcentral is "partial 16S ribosomal RNA". It matches the Rfam family "Bacterial small subunit ribosomal RNA", at positions 28 to 507 of the family's 1533-position model. The record is from RNAcentral.